Molecule: ribosomal RNA, 528 nt
Filed under: uncultured bacterium
Lineage: Bacteria
Description: partial 16S ribosomal RNA
Rfam family: Bacterial small subunit ribosomal RNA
Source: RNAcentral
GACGAACGCUGGCGGCGUGCCUAAUACACGCAAGUCGAGCGCAGGAAGUUAUCUGAUCCUUUUCGGAGGUGACGAUAAUGGAAUGAGCGGCGGACGGGUGAGUAACACGUAGGCAACCUGCCUGUAAGACUGGGAUAACUCGUGGAAACGCGAGCUAAUACCGGAUAACACUUUUCAUCUCCUGAUGAGAAGUUGAAAGGCGGCUUUUGCUGUCACUUACAGAUGGGCCUGCGGCGCAUUAGCUAGUUGGUAAGGUAACGGCUUACCAAGGCGACGAUGCGUAGCCGGCCUGAGAGGGUGAUCGGCCACACUGGGACUGAGACACGGCCCAGACUCCUACGGGAGGCAGCAGUAGGGAAUCUUCCGCAAUGGACGAAAGUCUGACGGAGCAACGCCGCGUGAGUGAUGAAGGUUUUCGGAUCGUAAAACUCUGUUGUAAGGGAAGAACGACUUUAGUAGGAAAUGGCUAGAGUGUGACGGUACCUUAUGAGAAAGCCACGGCUAACUACGUGCCAGCCGCCGCAGUAA